UACAUAGGGUGCAAGCGUUGUCCGGAAUUAUUGGGCGUAAAGAGCUCGUAGGCGGUCUGUUGCGUCGGCUGUGAAAACCCGCGGCUUAACCGCGGGCCUGCUUUCGAUACGGGCGGGCUAGAGUUCGGCAGGGGAGACUGGAAUUCCUGGUGUAGCGGUGGAAUGCGCAGAUAUCAGGAGGAACACCGGUGGCGAAGGCGGGUCUCUGGGCCGAUACUGACACUGAGAAGCGAAAGCGUGGGGAGCGAACAGG
RNAcentral lists this ribosomal RNA (253 nucleotides) under uncultured bacterium. RNAcentral describes it as "partial 16S ribosomal RNA". It matches the Rfam family "Bacterial small subunit ribosomal RNA", at positions 524 to 776 of the family's 1533-position model. The record is from RNAcentral.